Molecule: ribosomal RNA, 1375 nt
Filed under: Salmonella enterica subsp. enterica serovar Virchow
Lineage: Bacteria; Pseudomonadati; Pseudomonadota; Gammaproteobacteria; Enterobacterales; Enterobacteriaceae
Description: partial 23S ribosomal RNA
Rfam family: Bacterial large subunit ribosomal RNA
Source: RNAcentral
GGGUUGUGAGGUUAAGCGACUAAGCGUACACGGUGGAUGCCCUGGCAGUCAGAGGCGAUGAAGGGCGUGCUAAUCUGCGAUAAGCGCCGGUAAGGUGAUAUGAACCGUUAUAACCGGCGAUACCCGAAUGGGGAAACCCAGUGUGAUUCGUCACACUAUCAUUAACUGAAUCCAUAGGUUAAUGAGGCGAACCGGGGGAACUGAAACAUCUAAGUACCCCGAGGAAAAGAAAUCAACCGAGAUUCCCCCAGUAGCGGCGAGCGAACGGGGAGGAGCCCAGAGCCUGAAUCAGCAUGUGUGUUAGUGGAAGCGUCUGGAAAGGCGCGCGAUACAGGGUGACAGCCCCGUACACAAAAGCGCAUGUGCUGUGAGCUCGAUGAGUAGGGCGGGACACGUGGUAUCCUGUCUGAAUAUGGGGGGACCAUCCUCCAAGGCUAAAUACUCCUGACUGACCGAUAGUGAACCAGUACCGUGAGGGAAAGGCGAAAAGAACCCCGGCGAGGGGAGUGAAAAAGAACCUGAAACCGUGUACGUACAAGCAGUGGGAGCACAGGUUUACCUGUGUGACUGCGUACCUUUUGUAUAAUGGGUCAGCGACUUAUAUUCUGUAGCAAGGUUAACCGAAUAGGGGAGCCGGAGGGAAACCGAGUCUUAAUUGGGCGUUAAGUUGCAGGGUAUAGACCCGAAACCCGGUGAUCUAGCCAUGGGCAGGUUGAAGGUUGGGUAACACUAACUGGAGGACCGAACCGACUAAUGUUGAAAAAUUAGCGGAUGACCUGUGGCUGGGGGUGAAAGGCCAAUCAAACCGGGAGAUAGCUGGUUCUCCCCGAAAGCUAUUUAGGUAGCGCCUCGUGAAUUCAUCUCCGGGGGUAGAGCACUGUUUCGGCUAGGGGGCCAUCCCGGCUUACCAACCCGAUGCAAACUGCGAAUACCGGAGAAUGUUAUCACGGGAGACACACGGCGGGUGCUAACGUCCGUCGUGAAGAGGGAAACAACCCAGACCGCCAGCUAAGGUCCCAAAGUCAUGGUUAAGUGGGAAACGAUGUGGGAAGGCCCAGACAGCCAGGAUGUUGGCUUAGAAGCAGCCAUCAUUUAAAGAAAGCGUAAUAGCUCACUGGUCGAGUCGGCCUGCGCGGAAGAUGUAACGGGGCUAAACCAUGCACCGAAGCUGCGGCAGCGACACUGUGUGUUGUUGGGUAGGGGAGCGUUCUGUAAGCCUGUGAAGGUGGCCUGUGAGGGUUGCUGGAGGUAUCAGAAGUGCGAAUGCUGACAUAAGUAACGAUAAAGCGGGUGAAAAGCCCGCUCGCCGGAAGACCAAGGGUUCCUGUCCAACGUUAAUCGGGGCAGGGUGAGUCGACCCCUAAGGCGAGGCCGA